RNAcentral lists this ribosomal RNA (412 nucleotides) under uncultured bacterium. RNAcentral describes it as "bacterial SSU rRNA". It matches the Rfam family "Bacterial small subunit ribosomal RNA", at positions 28 to 431 of the family's 1533-position model. The record is from RNAcentral.
GAUGAACGCUAGCGGCAGGCCUAACACAUGCAAGUCGAGGGGCAGCAUAGUAAGUAGCAAUACUUGCGGAUGGCGACCGGCGCACGGGUGCGUAACGCGUAUGCAACCUACCCGUAACAGGGGGAUAAUCCGAAGAAAUUUGGUCUAAUAUCCCAUAAUAUGACCGAGGGCAUCCUUGGUGAUUGAAAGAUUCGUUGGUUACGGAUGGGCAUGCGUUGUAUUAGCUAGUUGGUAAGGUAACGGCUUACCAAGGCUACGAUACAUAGGGGAACUGAGAGGUUAACCCCCCACACUGGUACUGAGACACGGACCAGACUCCUACGGGAGGCAGCAGUGAGGAAUAUUGGUCAAUGGACGGAAGUCUGAACCAGCCAUGCCGCGUGCAGGAUGACGGCUCUAUGAGUUGUAAACU